UACAUUUUUAGGUUCAGCGGAAGUAUACAAAAGCAGAUGGUUUGCGUAUGAUGCUCUGGCCUUUCUGAAUGAAAGAAACCAACCGCGAAAACGAUCUAAUACCAAUUGAAUGGGGCUUGAAUUACCACAUGUUUGCCGUCCAUACUACCCAAACAAUGCGGAAAAUUCCACUGAGAUUCAUAUUCUUCUGCUAUUUUUAUCCAUUCAUUAGGAGAAUCGGGCAACUGAAAUAAAAAAAGGUCAUUGAUGAUGAAAAAAACGUAAACGAAACAUCGGCGGAGGGAAAGGUCGAUCAAGCAGAACCACGUUCUGCACCAAUACCACCCAAGAAGAAACGACCCACCGACCAAAAACUGGACUUAUUGAAGCAAUCAUACGGAAUAUUAAAAGCGGCCUCAGACAACGUUAAUUCACUUUCUAAUCAAAUGAGUAUUCAGAAUGAAGAGGUUCGGUAUUUUUGUGGAUUCAUUGGAAAUAAAAUGUCUAAAUAUUCAGACAUAACUAGAGCUUCAGUUCAACAUGCAAUUCACAAUAUCAUUUUUCAAGCUGACCGUGGGUUCUAUGAGGCCACCUAUACCGGAAACAUGCACUACAUGGGACCAUCUACAUCAACUACUUCAUUUGCACAACACAUACCAAAUACAUAUUCGAAUAACACGAAUUCAUUCUUUAAUCAACUACAGUCAGGACAAAUUCCCGGGCAGCAUUCUUCCACACUUCCGACACCGACAGCUGAAGUCCCCACACCAUCUCCAUGUUCAUCUUCAGUACAUUCAUACACUCAGAUCUCUGAAGAAACAUCACAAUCUGAAGAACCUCAGUUUGAAGAUUUACUCUA
Molecule: long non-coding RNA, 838 nt
Organism: Photinus pyralis (common eastern firefly)
Lineage: Eukaryota; Metazoa; Arthropoda; Insecta; Coleoptera; Lampyridae
Exons: 3
Source: RefSeq, a predicted model, not a curated record